RNAcentral lists this ribosomal RNA (492 nucleotides) under uncultured bacterium. RNAcentral describes it as "partial 16S ribosomal RNA". It matches the Rfam family "Bacterial small subunit ribosomal RNA", at positions 29 to 507 of the family's 1533-position model. The record is from RNAcentral.
AGUGAACGCUGGCGGUAGGCCUAACACAUGCAAGUCGAACGGCAGCACAGUAAGAGCUUGCUCUUACGGGUGGCGAGUGGCGGACGGGUGAGGAAUACAUCGGAAUCUACUUUUUCGUGGGGGAUAACGUAGGGAAACUUACUCUAAUACCGCAUACGACCUACGGGUGAAAGCAGGGGAUCUUCGGACCUUGCGCGAUUGAAUGAGCCGAUGUCGGAUUAGCUAGUUGGCGGGGUAAAGGCCCACCAAGGCGACGAUCCGUAGCUGCUCUGAGAGGAUGAUCCGCCACACUGGAACUGAGACACGGUCCAGACUCCUACGGGAGGCAGCAGUGGGGAAUAUUGGACAAUGGGCGCAAGCCUGAUCCAGCCAUACCGCGUGGGUGAAGAAGGCCUUCGGGUUGUAAAGCCCUUUUGUUGGGAAAGAAAAGCAGCAGGUUAAUACCCCGCUGUUCUGACGGUACCCAAAGAAUAAGCACCGGCUAACUUCGUG